GAUUGAGUUUGAUCCUGGCUCAGGAUGAACGCUGGCGGCAUGCCUAAUACAUGCAAGUCGAACGGAUAUCUUCGGAUAUGAGUGGCGAACGGGUGAGUAACACGUAGGGAACCUGCCUGCAUGAGCGGGAGAACUUCUGGAAACGGAAGCUGAUACCGGAUGAGCAAAGAGGAGGCAUCUUCUUUUUGGAAAAGGGGACAAGAGUCCCGCAUGCAGAUGGACCUGCGGUGCAUUAGCUGGUUGGAGAGGUAACGGCUCACCAAGGCGACGAUGCAUAGCCGGCCUGAGAGGGCGGACGGCCACACUGGGACUGAGACACGGCCCAGACUCCUGCGGGAGGCAGCAGUAGGGAAUUUUCGUCAAUGGGGGGAACCCUGAACGAGCAAUGCCGCGUGAGCGAGGAAGGUCUUCGGAUCGUAAAGCUCUGUUGCCGGGGACAAAAGGCAGAAAGAGUGGAAAGCUUUCUGAGUGAUGGUACCCGGCGAGGAAGUCACGGCUAACUACGUGCCAGCAGCCGCGGUAAUACGUAGGUGGCGAGCGUUAUCCGGAAUGAUUGGGCGUAAAGGGUGCGCANGCGGCCGGGCAAGUCCGCAGUAAAAACUGGAGGCUCAACCUUCAGGGGCUGCGGGAACUGUCCCGCUGGAGAGCAG
RNAcentral lists this ribosomal RNA (650 nucleotides) under uncultured bacterium. RNAcentral describes it as "bacterial SSU rRNA". It matches the Rfam family "Bacterial small subunit ribosomal RNA", at positions 1 to 651 of the family's 1533-position model. The record is from RNAcentral.